RNAcentral lists this non-coding RNA (23 nucleotides) under Arabidopsis thaliana (thale cress). The record is from RNAcentral. Lineage: Eukaryota; Viridiplantae; Streptophyta; Magnoliopsida; Brassicales; Brassicaceae.
AGAAUUCAAGAGUCCUUUGUGGU